Molecule: long non-coding RNA, 830 nt
Organism: Bufo bufo (common toad)
Lineage: Eukaryota; Metazoa; Chordata; Amphibia; Anura; Bufonidae
Exons: 2
Source: RefSeq, a predicted model, not a curated record
AGUACCUGAUAUGAAGUUCACUUUCCAGAGAAGGGGGCAGAUCUGGAACAAAUUAAUAUCAACCACCUCUUUACAAGGACAGACUUCUAGAUUUGUCGUGACUCCGUCCAUUUUGGUGACAGAAUAGGAGACAUUGAAAUGGAAGAAGACUCCUCCUGUUCCAUCCACAACUAAAUAUUAAUAAGAUUUCCGUAUUCAUCUUGAUGUGUAUAUGAGGGGAUAGGGUUAGAAAAACAUGGCGGCUUUCAUUCAGAAACUGCCCCUUUCUUGACUAUGGGCAUGUCAGGUAUUACAGCCCAGCACUCAUGCCCUUAUGAGCUGCUAUACCACACACAUGGACAAAGGGGGCACUACUUCUAGAAGAAAGCUGCCAUGUUUAAUCUCAUACAACCCCUUGCGAUUCACUUUCGUAUAAAUGUACGAUUGUAUCACUGAAGAGUCUCUCUCCCUAAAAGUAAAGUCACAGGGGAAGAUAUAAGGGUCUGCAACCUCCAGCACCUUCUGAAACGACCACCCCAGUAGUCACCCAGCUUUCCCAGAAACAGAAAUAGCUGAAGAAACUAUAAAAGGCCCAUAUUGUGUACUUCAUCUGGUUAUGGCGUUAACCCGGGCAGUAUUAUCCUAGCAUGAAAUGCUUCCUUCAACAUGGCAGCCACCAGCCAUCCAUAUGUAUGAGAGAGCCCAGCCUCGUAAUGUAAAUUAUACACCAUGUACGUUACUGGACACGACGCGGCCUUCUUCCUCCCAGUACUGAAAACCGAUUCCUCACAGAAUUAUUCUUCAUUUAUGUGUGUGUUAUUGUGUUAUUAAAGAUGAAUCCAUUGCCGGCU